RNAcentral lists this unclassified non-coding RNA (348 nucleotides) under soil metagenome. RNAcentral's name for it is "partial contains 5.8S ribosomal RNA, internal transcribed spacer 2, and large subunit ribosomal RNA". The stretch from base 1 to 120 matches the Rfam family "5.8S ribosomal RNA", at positions 35 to 154 of the family's 154-position model. The record is from RNAcentral.
GAUGAAGAACGCAGCGAAAUGCGAUAAGUAAUGUGAAUUGCAGAAUUCAGUGAAUCAUCGAAUCUUUGAACGCACAUUGCGCCCGCCAGUAUUCUGGCGGGCAUGCCUGUCUGAGCGUCAUUUCAACCCUCAUGCCCCUAGGGCGUGGUGUUGGGGAUCGGCCAAAGCCCGCGAGGGACGGCCGGCCCCUAAAUCUAGUGGCGGACCCGUCGUGGCCUCCUCUGCGAAGUAGUGAUAUUCCGCAUCGGAGAGCGAUGAGCCCCUGCCGUUAAACCCCCAACCUUCCAAGGUUGACCUCAGAUCAGGUAGGAAUACCCGCUGAACUUAAGCAUAUCAAUAAGCGGAGGA